Small nucleolar RNA from Setaria italica (foxtail millet), 105 nucleotides. It matches the Rfam family "Small nucleolar RNA snoR97". The record is from Rfam. NCBI's taxonomy places the organism in Eukaryota, Viridiplantae, Streptophyta, Magnoliopsida, Poales, Poaceae.
GAUUUCUGAUUUGCGCAGAGGCUGAAAAACUCGGAAAGUGUGUGUUGUCAUCAGCUUCGUCUCUUUUUUACUGUGAGAUGGGAGUUAAAUAACAGCACGAUAUUG